CGGGGCGUAGCGCAGCCUGGUAGCGCACCUGCUUUGGGAGCAGGGAGUCGGGAGUUCAAAUCUCCCCGCCCCGACCA
This 77-nucleotide transfer RNA is filed under the name Desulfobacterales bacterium. RNAcentral describes it as "tRNA-Pro". It matches the Rfam family "tRNA". From Rfam's summary of the family: Transfer RNA (tRNA) molecules are approximately 80 nucleotides in length. Lineage: Bacteria; Pseudomonadati; Thermodesulfobacteriota; Desulfobacteria; Desulfobacterales. The record is from RNAcentral. RNAcentral also lists the same sequence under 3 other names.